RNAcentral lists this ribosomal RNA (301 nucleotides) under uncultured bacterium. RNAcentral describes it as "partial 16S ribosomal RNA". It matches the Rfam family "Bacterial small subunit ribosomal RNA", at positions 509 to 807 of the family's 1533-position model. The record is from RNAcentral.
CAGUAGCCGCGGUAACACGGAGGGGGCUAGCGUUGUUCGGAAUUACUGGGCGUAAAGCGCACGUAGGCGGCUUGGUAAGUUAGAGGUGAAAGCCUGGAGCUCAACUCCAGAAUUGCCUUUAAGACUGCCGAGCUAGCAGGUGAGAGAGGUAAGUGGAAUUCCGAGUGUAGAGGUGAAAUUCGUAGAUAUUCGGAAGAACACCAGUGGCGAAGGCGGCUUACUGGCUCAUACUGGACGCUGAGGUGCGAAAGCGUGGGGAGCAAACAGGAUUAGAUACCCCUGUAGUCCCUGUCUCUUAUAC